This 243-nucleotide ribosomal RNA is filed under the name Triticum aestivum (bread wheat). Its description in RNAcentral is "partial small subunit ribosomal RNA". The record is from RNAcentral. Lineage: Eukaryota; Viridiplantae; Streptophyta; Magnoliopsida; Poales; Poaceae.
AUGGAUUCGCACCAAGUCCUCGUCGCCAGGCCGACCCCGUCCCCUUCUGUUCGUCUCGAGCAUCAAGUGCAGCUGCCUCCUCUGCCGACUUGCUCCCCACCGAAUCCGGUGGCUCGUAGCACCACUGCCGUCGUCGCCUCAAGUCCCUACCGCUGCGCGCCGCGAAGUCCUGAUGAAGCCACAGCUCUAUUUGGUGCCUCUGCCUGUGAGCAACGCCAUCUCGCCUCGAGCCCUCGUCGGUGA